This 460-nucleotide ribosomal RNA is filed under the name uncultured bacterium. RNAcentral describes it as "partial 16S ribosomal RNA". It matches the Rfam family "Bacterial small subunit ribosomal RNA", at positions 338 to 795 of the family's 1533-position model. The record is from RNAcentral.
CCUACGGGAGGCAGCAGUGAGGAAUAUUGGUCAAUGGACGAGAGUCUGAACCAGCCAAGUAGCGUGAAGGAUGACUGCCCUAUGGGUUGUAAACUUCUUUUAUAUGGGAAUAAAAUGUUCCACGUGUGGGAUUUUGUAUGUACCAUAUGAAUAAGGAUCGGCUAACUCCGUGCCAGCAGCCGCGGUAAGACGGAGGAUCCGAGCGUUAUCCGGAUUUAUUGGGUUUAAAGGGAGCGUAGGUGGAUUGUUAAGGCAGUUGUGAAAGUUUGCGGCUCAACCGUAAAAUUGCAGUUGAAACUGGCAGUCUUGAGUACAGUAGAGGUGGGCGGAAUUCGUGGUGUAGCGGUGAAAUGCUUAGAUAUCACGAAGAACUCCGAUUGCGAAGGCAGUUCACUGGACUGCAACUGACACUGAGGCUCGAAAGUGUGGGUAUCAAACAGGAUUAGAUACCCUUGUAGUC